UAAGUGCUUCCAUGUUUCAGUGG
This 23-nucleotide microRNA is filed under the name Alligator mississippiensis (American alligator). RNAcentral describes it as "Ami-Mir-430-P2_3p (mature (guide))". The record is from RNAcentral. Lineage: Eukaryota; Metazoa; Chordata; Crocodylia; Alligatoridae. RNAcentral also lists the same sequence under 21 other names.